AUACAAUUUAGAAUUACUUUGUAAUUAUUGUUUAAAGAAGGUUUAUAUUAGUGACUUAGAAUUUAUGCAAUACAAUUAGAGCUAGUACUCUCAGCUAGUUUGUACAAUUGGUGUCACAUCUAUAGUUUAAAAUUUAAAAGUACUUGAUUGAUUGAGUGUGCUAAGUGUGUGUAAAAUUUUAUAUUAAUAUAAUAGUGCAAUUGAGAGAUAUCUAAGUUUUGGUAUAAGAAGGUAUUAAAGAAAAGAAGUCUAAAAGCUACAAACACUUAGCA
Molecule: long non-coding RNA, 272 nt
Filed under: Physcomitrium patens
Lineage: Eukaryota; Viridiplantae; Streptophyta; Bryopsida; Funariales; Funariaceae
Description: long non-coding RNA (PPAT_LNC009523)
Source: RNAcentral